UAUUUUCCUUUUUUGCCAGCAGCCGCGGUAAUACGUAGGGAGCGAGCGUUGUCCGGAAUUACUGGGUGUAAAGGGAGCGUAGGCGGGAUGGCAAGUCAGAUGUGAAAACUAUGGGCUCAACCCAUAGACUGCAUUUGAAACUGUUGUUCUUGAGUGAGGUAGAGGUAAGCGGAAUUCCUGGUGUAGCGGUGAAAUGCGUAGAGAUCAGGAGGAACAUCGGUGGCGAAGGCGGCUUACUGGGCCUUUACUGACGCUGAGGCUCGAAAGCGUGGGGAGCAAACAGG
RNAcentral lists this ribosomal RNA (284 nucleotides) under Ruminococcus callidus. RNAcentral describes it as "partial 16S ribosomal RNA". It matches the Rfam family "Bacterial small subunit ribosomal RNA", at positions 494 to 776 of the family's 1533-position model. The record is from RNAcentral. Lineage: Bacteria; Bacillati; Bacillota; Clostridia; Eubacteriales; Oscillospiraceae.